This 253-nucleotide ribosomal RNA is filed under the name uncultured bacterium. RNAcentral describes it as "partial 16S ribosomal RNA". It matches the Rfam family "Bacterial small subunit ribosomal RNA", at positions 524 to 775 of the family's 1533-position model. The record is from RNAcentral.
UACGUAGGUGGCAAGCGUUGUCCGGAUUUACUGGGCGUAAAGAGCGCGCAGGCGGUCGUUCAAGUCGCGUGUGAAAGCCCCCGGCUCAACUGGGGAGGGUCACGCGAUACUGAUCGACUCGAAGGCAGGAGAGGGUAGUGGAAUUCCCGGUGUAGUGGUGAAAUGCGUAGAUAUCGGGAGGAACACCAGUGGCGAAGGCGACUACCUGGCCUGUUUCUUGACGCUGAGGCGCGAAAGCUAGGGGAGCAACGGG